GGGCGUAAAGUGUGCGUAGGCGGGCGUAUAAGUCAGUGGUGAAAUCCUGGAGCUUAACUCCAGAACUGCCAUUGAUACUAUAUGUCUUGAAUAUGGUGGAGGUAAGCGGAAUAUGUCAUGUAGCGGUGAAAUGCAUAGAUAUGACAUAGAACACCUAUUGCGAAGGCAGCUUACUACGCCUAUAUUGACGCUGAGGCACGAAAGCGUGGGGAUCAAACAGGAUUAGAUACCCUGGUAGUCCACGCCCUAAACGAUGAUUACUCGACGUGUGCGAUAAAACGGUAACGCGUCUGAGCGAAAAGCAUUAAGUAAAUCCACCUGGGAAGUACGACCGCAAAGGUUGAAAACU
This 349-nucleotide ribosomal RNA is filed under the name uncultured bacterium. RNAcentral describes it as "bacterial SSU rRNA". It matches the Rfam family "Bacterial small subunit ribosomal RNA", at positions 556 to 901 of the family's 1533-position model. The record is from RNAcentral.